AGUGAACGCUGGCGGUAGGCCUAACACAUGCAAGUCGAACGGCAGCACAGUAAGAGCUUGCUCUUACGGGUGGCGAGUGGCGGACGGGUGAGGAAUACAUCGGAAUCUACUUUUUCGUGGGGGAUAACGUAGGGAAACUUACGCUAAUACCGCAUACGACCUACGGGUGAAAGCAGGGGAUCUUCGGACCUUGCGCGAUUGAAUGAGCCGAUGUCGGAUUAGCUAGUUGGCGGGGUAAAGGCCCACCAAGGCGACGAUCCGUAGCUGGGCUGAGAGGAUGAUCAGCCACACUGGAACGGAGACACGGUCCAGACUCCUACGGGAGGCAGCAGUGGGGAAUAUUGGACAAUGGGCGCAAGCCUGAUCCAGCCAUACCGCGUGGGUGAAGAAGGCCUUCGGGUUGUAAAGCCCUUUUGUUGGGAAAGAAAAGCAGCAGGUUAAUACCCCGCUGUUCUGACGGUACCCAAAGAAUAAGCACCGGCUAACUUCGUG
Molecule: ribosomal RNA, 492 nt
Filed under: uncultured bacterium
Lineage: Bacteria
Description: partial 16S ribosomal RNA
Rfam family: Bacterial small subunit ribosomal RNA
Source: RNAcentral